UGUUGUCUCUACACUUACCUC
Molecule: non-coding RNA, 21 nt
Filed under: Arabidopsis thaliana (thale cress)
Lineage: Eukaryota; Viridiplantae; Streptophyta; Magnoliopsida; Brassicales; Brassicaceae
Source: RNAcentral